GCCGGAGUGGCGGAAUGGUAGACGCAGCUGACUCAAAAUCAGCCGACGCAAGUCGUGGGGGUUCGAGUCCCUUCUCCGGCA
Molecule: transfer RNA, 81 nt
Filed under: Plasticicumulans lactativorans
Lineage: Bacteria; Pseudomonadati; Pseudomonadota; Gammaproteobacteria; Candidatus Competibacteraceae
Rfam family: tRNA
About the family: Transfer RNA (tRNA) molecules are approximately 80 nucleotides in length. Their secondary structure includes four short double-helical elements and three loops (D, anti-codon, and T loops).
Source: Rfam by way of RNAcentral